This 440-nucleotide ribosomal RNA is filed under the name uncultured bacterium. Its description in RNAcentral is "partial 16S ribosomal RNA". It matches the Rfam family "Bacterial small subunit ribosomal RNA", at positions 338 to 795 of the family's 1533-position model. The record is from RNAcentral.
CCUACGGGUGGCAGCAGUGGGGAAUAUUGCACAAUGGAGGAAACCCUGAUGCAGCGACGCCGCGUGAGUGAAGAAGGUUUUCGGUAUGUAAACCUCUGUCAGGAGGGAAGAAAAUGACUGUACCUGAUCAGCAAUGCGCUGAUAACUACGUCCCAGCAGCCGCGGUAAUACGUAGGGGGCAAGCGUUAUUUGGAUCUACGGGCUGUAAAGUGAGCGUAGACUGCAGGGCAAGUCUGGGGUGAAAUGCCGGGGCUUAACCCUGGAACUGCCUUUGACACUGUGCGACUAGAGUGCGGGAGAGGGAAGCGGAAGUCCAGGUGUAGCAGUGAAAUGCGUAGAUAUUAGGAGGAACACCAGUGGCGAAGGCGGCUUCCUGGACUGGAACUGACGCUGAGGCGCGAAAGCGUGGGGAGCAAACAGGAUUAGAUACCCGAGUAGUC